RNAcentral lists this long non-coding RNA (820 nucleotides) under Selaginella moellendorffii. RNAcentral's name for it is "long non-coding RNA (SMOE_LNC002235)". The record is from RNAcentral. Lineage: Eukaryota; Viridiplantae; Streptophyta; Lycopodiopsida; Selaginellales; Selaginellaceae.
GGUGAUAAAGGGCUAGAGCAGUGAUGGAUGCCGCGUCUUGGGGUUUCGCGACCCUUCCACUCUGCCCAUUGAUCGGAGCUCCAGGUAGGCCGCUUCGCCUCUCUCCCCUCACCGAGACGUCGCCCUACUGGGCGCCACAGCGGCAGCUCGUGAACAACGGCUACCCUCGCAAGGUAAGUUCGUUUAGGUAGGGCUUUUCUUUGCGUUAGGAGUAAGACAGAUUUGGAAAGCGAAGCUGCUUGCAACGAGCUAAGAGGUAUGCUAGAGGCGAUCAAGAAAUCGUGUUGAAACUCGCAACGCUUGAAGGAACUCUCAACGCGAAGGGACACUCACCGACGUGGACAACGCUGUUUGAGUACGAACAAAACUAACGACCAACGAUACUUGGUUUUACGUUGCCAGGUUCGCGUGUGUUUCGAUUUGUUCUAAUUUCUUGUCAUUGAGAAGCCAAGUGACAUGCUGGUGCUGCCCAACGACAAUAGGAACUGAAAAACGCCAUGUCACAGCGUGUGCCAAGAAGAAAACUGCUACUAGAUUGGAGAGAUUUUGUGUCAACGUUUUGGAGAGAUUGUCAGCGCUUUGAGUUGUGUUGUUGCUGCGUUCAACGCAAGACCUGCGAGCUGAGAAACAACGGCGAUCUCAGAACUUCAAUCCAGCUGAAAAUGUACAUGACAAUGGUCCAACCUCAAUGAAAACAACGAUCAUGAUCCGUCGCUGAUCCUUGACAGGCCCGGUCCACUCGCACCUCUCCACCUCGCAGGGUAAGUUCGUUCAGUUUUCUUUGUGUUAGCAAUAAGCGAGUAAGACAACGAAACGAGAG